This 304-nucleotide unclassified non-coding RNA is filed under the name air metagenome. RNAcentral's name for it is "partial contains small subunit ribosomal RNA, internal transcribed spacer 1, and 5.8S ribosomal RNA". The stretch from base 1 to 46 matches the Rfam family "Eukaryotic small subunit ribosomal RNA", at positions 1786 to 1831 of the family's 1831-position model. The record is from RNAcentral.
AAGUCGUAACAAGGUUUCCGUAGGUGAACCUGCGGAAGGAUCAUUACUGAAGUACUUGCAAUAGUUGUUGCUGCCUUUCUAAGGAUGUGCACGCUAUUCAAUCUUCUACUUAACCACCUGUGCACCUUUCAUAAGCUGUGAAUUUAAACCCUCACAUUGAAAAAUGUGGAUUUGAGAGUUACCUUUUUGGUUGCUUUCAACUUAUUCACUAGCUUGUGUUUUUUUAUAUACACCAUUGAGACUUUUGAAUGUGUUUAUUUUAUAUAAUAAAAUACAACUUUCAGCAACGGAUCUCUUGGCUCUC